This 484-nucleotide ribosomal RNA is filed under the name uncultured bacterium. RNAcentral's name for it is "bacterial SSU rRNA". It matches the Rfam family "Bacterial small subunit ribosomal RNA", at positions 32 to 524 of the family's 1533-position model. The record is from RNAcentral.
AAUCAACGCUGGCGGCGUGCCUCAGACAUGCAAGUCGAACGAUUAAGACUUCCUUCGGGAAGUGCAUAAAGUGGCGCACGGGUGAGUAACACGUAAGUAAUCUACCCUCGAGUGGGGAAUAACGUUCGGAAACGGACGCUAAUACCGCAUAACGCAGCGGCACCGCAAGGUGACAGUUGUUAAAGGAGUAAUUCGCUUGAGGAGGAGCUUGCGGCAGAUUAGCUUGUUGGUAAGGAACGGCUUACCAAGGCUACGAUCUGUAUCCGGUCUAAGAGGACGGUCGGACACACUGACACUGAAUAACGGGUCAGACUCCUACGGGAGGCAGCAGUCGGGAAUUUUGGGCAAUGGGCGAAAGCCUGACCCAGCAACGCCGCGUGAAGGAUGAAGUAUUUCGGUAUGUAAACUUCGAAAGAAUGGGAAGAAUAAAUGACGGUACCAUUUUAUAAGCUCCGGCUAACUACGUGCCAGCAGCCGCCGUAAU